UAGGAACCGUGAGAUUAACCCAUCGCGGCAGGUGCUCACGUUAAGCCCACCUGACUUUCAUGUCCCUAUCUACUAUCUAGCGAAACCACAGCCAAGGGAACGGGCUUGGAAUAAUUAGCGGGGAAAGAAAAACCCUUUGAACUUUACUCUAUCUUGCAGUGUGAAGAAAAAUAAGAAGGGAUAAAAAAAUGGGGAAAAUAAUAAAAUUUCGUUUUGUUUUCCCAAAGAAAAAACCCUCUCCCUUAAUUUUUCCUUUCUUUCUUUAAUUAAAUGGGAACGGGGAUACUUUUCCCUACCCUUAAACCGAAAUAAAUUAUUAUAUGCUUUUGGGGUUUGGGGGUUU
RNAcentral lists this non-coding RNA (343 nucleotides) under Drosophila virilis. RNAcentral describes it as "Eukaryotic large subunit ribosomal RNA". It matches the Rfam family "Eukaryotic large subunit ribosomal RNA", at positions 2118 to 2585 of the family's 3401-position model. The record is from Rfam by way of RNAcentral. Lineage: Eukaryota; Metazoa; Arthropoda; Insecta; Diptera; Drosophilidae.